ACGAACGCUGGCGGCAUGCCUAACACCUGCCAGUCGAACGCGACCUUCGGGUCUAGUGGCGCACGGGUGCGUAACGCGUGGGAACCUGCCCUUAGGUUCGGAAUAACUCCCCGAAAGGGGUGCUAAUACCGGAUAAUGUCUUCGGACCAAAGAUUUAUCGCCUUUGGAUGGGCCCGCGUUGGAUUAGCUAGUUGGUAGGGUAAAAGCCUACCAAGGCGACGAUCCAUAGCUGGUCUGAGAGGAUGAUCAGCCACACUGGGACUGAGACACGGCCCAGACUCCUACGGGAGGCAGCAGUGGGGAAUAUUGGACAAUGGGCGAAAGCCUGAUCCAGCAAUGCCGCGUGAGUGAUGAAGGCCUUAGGGUUGUAAAGCUCUUUUACCCGGGAUGAUAAUGACAGUACCGGGAGAAUAAGCGCCGGCUAACUCCGUG
This 432-nucleotide ribosomal RNA is filed under the name uncultured bacterium. RNAcentral describes it as "partial 16S ribosomal RNA". It matches the Rfam family "Bacterial small subunit ribosomal RNA", at positions 29 to 507 of the family's 1533-position model. The record is from RNAcentral.